This 1343-nucleotide ribosomal RNA is filed under the name uncultured bacterium. Its description in RNAcentral is "16S ribosomal RNA". It matches the Rfam family "Bacterial small subunit ribosomal RNA", at positions 28 to 1378 of the family's 1533-position model. The record is from RNAcentral.
GACGAACGCUGGCGGCGUGCUUAACACAUGCAAGUCGAACGGAAAGGCCCUGCUUUUGUGGGGUGCUCGAGUGGCGAACGGGUGAGUAACACGUGAGUAACCUGCCCUUGACUUUGGGAUAACUUCAGGAAACUGGGGCUAAUACCGGAUAGGAGCUCCUGCUGCAUGGUGGGGGUUGGAAAGUUUCGGCGGUUGGGGAUGGACUCGCGGCUUAUCAGCUUGUUGGUGGGGUAGUGGCUUACCAAGGCUUUGACGGGUAGCCGGCCUGAGAGGGUGACCGGCCACAUUGGGACUGAGAUACGGCCCAGACUCCUACGGGAGGCAGCAGUGGGGAAUAUUGCACAAUGGGCGGAAGCCUGAUGCAGCAACGCCGCGUGCGGGAUGACGGCCUUCGGGUUGUAAACCGCUUUCGCCUGUGACGAAGCGUGAGUGACGGUAAUGGGUAAAGAAGCACCGGCUAACUACGUGUCAGCAGCCGCGGUGAUACGUAGGGUGCGAGCGUUGUCCGGAUUUAUUGGGCGUAAAGGGCUCGUAGGUGGUUGAUCGCGUCGGAAGUGUAAUCUUGGGGCUUAACCCUGAGCGUGCUUUCGAUACGGGUUGACUUGAGGAAGGUAGGGGAGAAUGGAAUUCCUGGUGGAGCGGUGGAAUGCGCAGAUAUCAGGAGGAACACCAGUGGCGAAGGCGGUUCUCUGGGCCUUUCCUGACGCUGAGGAGCGAAAGCGUGGGGAGCGAACAGGCUUAGAUACCCUGGUAGUCCACGCUGUAAACGGUGGGUACUAGGUGUGGGGUCCAUUCCACGGGUUCCGUGCCGUAGCUAACGCUUUAAGUACCCCGCCUGGGGAGUACGGCCGCAAGGCUAAAACUCAAAGGAAUUGACGGGGCCCCGCACAAGCGGCGGAGCAUGCGGAUUAAUUCGAUGCAACGCGUAGAACCUUACCUGGGUUUGACAUGGAUCGGGAGCGCUCAGAGAUGGGUGUGCCUCUUUUGGGGUCGGUUCACAGGUGGUGCAUGGCUGUCGUCAGCUCGUGUCGUGAGAUGUUGGGUUAAGUCCCGCAACGAGCGCAACCCUUGUUCACUGUUGCCAGCACGUUAUGGUGGGGACUCAGUGGAGACCGCCGGGGUCAACUCGGAGGAAGGUGGGGAUGACGUCAAGUCAUCAUGCCCCUUAUGUCCAGGGCUUCACGCAUGCUACAAUGGCUGGUACAGAGAGUGGCGAGCCUGUGAGGGUGAGCGAAUCUCGGAAAGCCGGUCUCAGUUCGGAUUGGGGUCUGCAACUCGACCUCAUGAAGUCGGAGUCGCUAGUAAUCGCAGAUCAGCAACGCUGCGGUGAAUACGUUCCCGGG